UUUGCGCCGGCAGGUCUUACACGGCCAGCUCCUACUGAACUCCCCCAGGGUCGGAAGACAGCAAGGGUAGGUGGUUGUAGCGGCGCGAUGUAAUAAGCCUGCCAUUUU
RNAcentral lists this signal recognition particle RNA (108 nucleotides) under Flavihumibacter petaseus NBRC 106054. Its description in RNAcentral is "Bacteroidales small SRP". It matches the Rfam family "Bacteroidales small SRP". From Rfam's summary of the family: The non-coding component of the signal recognition particle in Bacteroides The record is from Rfam by way of RNAcentral. Lineage: Bacteria; Pseudomonadati; Bacteroidota; Chitinophagia; Chitinophagales; Chitinophagaceae.